This 580-nucleotide ribosomal RNA is filed under the name uncultured bacterium. RNAcentral describes it as "bacterial SSU rRNA". It matches the Rfam family "Bacterial small subunit ribosomal RNA", at positions 56 to 666 of the family's 1533-position model. The record is from RNAcentral.
UGCAAGUUCGAACGAGNAAAGUGGAGCAAUCCAUGAGUAAAGUGGCGUACGGGUGAGUAACACGUGGGUAAUCUACCUUUUGGUGGGGAAUAACCCUGGGAAACCGGGGCUAAUACCGCAUAAGCUCGAAAGAGGAAAAGAGAAAUUUGCCGAAAGAGGAGCCCGCGGCUGAUUAGCUAGUUGGUGAGGUAAAGGCUCACCAAGGCGAAGAUCGGUAGCCGGCCUGAGAGGGCACACGGCCACACUGGCACUGAAACACGGGCCAGACUCCUACGGGAGGCAGCAGUGGGGAAUCUUGCACAAUGGGGGAAACCCUGAUGCAGCGACGCCGCGUGAGCGAUGAAGCCCUUCGGGGUGUAAAGCUCUUUCGGCCCGAACGAUAAUGACGGUACGGGAAGAAGAAGCUGCGGCUAACUACGUGCCAGCAGCCGCGGUAAUACGUAGGCAGCGAGCGUUGUUCGGAGUUACUGGGCGUAAAGCGUGCGUAGGCGGUUUUGUAAGUUUGGUGUGAAAUCUCCCGGCUCAACUGGGAGGGUGCGCCGAAAACUGCAAGGCUGGAGUGUGGGAGAGGUAGGCGGAA